Molecule: ribosomal RNA, 253 nt
Filed under: uncultured bacterium
Lineage: Bacteria
Description: partial 16S ribosomal RNA
Rfam family: Bacterial small subunit ribosomal RNA
Source: RNAcentral
UACGUAGGGGGCAAGCGUUGUCCGGAUUUAUUGGGCGUAAAGAGCUCGUAGGUGGUUCGGUAAGUCGGAUGUGAAAUCCCCAGGCUCAACCUGGGAACUGCAUCCGAUACUGGAUGGCUUGAAUUCGGGAGAGGGAUGCAGAAUUCCAGGUGUAGCGGUGAAAUGCGUAGAUAUCUGGAGGAAUACCGGUGGCGAAGGCGGCAUCCUGGACCGACAUUGACGCUGAGGAGCGAAAGCCAGGGGAGCAAACGGG